AUUGAACGCUGGCGGCAGGCCUAACACAUGCAAGUCGAACGGUAACAGGAAACAGCUUGCUGUUUCGCUGACGAGUGGCGGACGGGUGAGUAAUGUCUGGGAAACUGCCUGAUGGAGGGGGAUAACUACUGGAAACGGUAGCUAAUACCGCAUAACGUCGCAAGACCAAAGAGGGGGACCUUCGGGCCUCUUGCCAUCGGAUGUGUCCGGAUGGGAUUGGCUUGUUGGUGGGGUAACGGCUCACCAAGGCGACGAUCCCUAGCUGGUCUGAGAGGAUGACCAGCCACACUGGAACUGAGACACGGUCCAGACUCCUACGGGAGGCAGCAGUGGGGAAUAUUGCACAAUGGGCGCAAGCCUGAUGCAGCCAUGCCGCGUGUAUGAAGAAGGCCUUCGGGUUGUAAAGUACUUUCAGCGGGGAGGAAGGGAGUAAAGUUAAUACCUUUACUCAUUGACGUUACCCGCAGAAGAAGCACCGGCUAACUCCGUGCCAGCAGCCGCCGUAA
Molecule: ribosomal RNA, 506 nt
Filed under: uncultured bacterium
Lineage: Bacteria
Description: partial 16S ribosomal RNA
Rfam family: Bacterial small subunit ribosomal RNA
Source: RNAcentral